Molecule: ribosomal RNA, 686 nt
Filed under: uncultured bacterium
Lineage: Bacteria
Description: bacterial SSU rRNA
Rfam family: Bacterial small subunit ribosomal RNA
Source: RNAcentral
GAAGCUUGCUUCUUUUUGAAUCUAGUGGCAAACGGGUGAGUAACACGUAAACAACCUGCCUUCAGGAUGGGGACAACAGACGGAAACGACUGCUAAUACCGAAUGUGUUCCGGAGACCGCAUGAUUUCCGGAAGAAAGGAUGGCCUCUAUUUAUAAGCUAUCGCCUGAAGAGGGGUUUGCGUCUGAUUAGGCAGUUGGUGAGGUAACGGCCCACCAAACCUACGAUCAGUAGCCGGUCUGAGAGGAUGAACGGCCACACUGGAACUGAGACACGGUCCAGACUCCUACGGGAGGCAGCAGUGGGGAAUCUUCCGCAAUGGACGAAAGUCUGACGGAGCAACGCCGCGUGAGUGAUGACGGCCUUCGGGUUGUAAAGCUCUGUGAUCGGGGACGAAUGGCUGGUAUGCUAAUACCAUAUCAGAGUGACGGUACCCGAAUAGCAAGCCACGGCUAACUACGUGCCAGCAGCCGCGGUAAUACGUAGGUGGCAAGCGUUGUCCGGAAUUAUUGGGCGUAAAGCGCGCGCAGGCGGCUUCUUAAGUCCAUCUUAAAAGUGCGGGGCUUAACCCCGUGAUGGGAUGGAAACUGGGAGGCUGGAGUAUCGGAGAGGAAAGUGGAAUUCCUAGUGUAGCGGUGAAAUGCGUAGAGAUUAGGAAGAACACCGGUGGCGAAGGCGACUUUCUGGA